GGGGGAAAGCGGGGGAUCGUAAGACCUCGCGCUUUCGGAGUGGCCGAUAUCGGAUUAGCUAGUAGGUGAGGUAAAGGCUCACCUAGGCGACGAUCCGUAGCUGGUCUGAGAGGACGACCAGCCACACUGGAACUGAGACACGGUCCAGACUCCUACGGGAGGCAGCAGUGGGGAAUUUUGGACAAUGGGGGAAACCCUGAUCCAGCCAUACCGCGUGAGUGAAGAAGGCCUUCGGGUUGUAAAGCUCUUUCAGCCGGAAAGAAAGCGCAUGGGUUAACAGCCUGUGUGGAUGACGGUACCGGAAGAAGAAGCACCGGCUAACUACGUGCCAGCAGCCGCGGUAAUACGUAGGGUGCGAGCGUUAAUCGGAAUUACUGGGCGUAAAGCGUGCGCAGGCGGUUUUGUAAGACAGGCGUGAAAUCCCCGGGCUUAACCUGGGAACUGCGCUUGUGACUGCAAGACUGGAGUGUGGCAGAGGGGGGUAGAAUUCCACGUGUAGCAGUGAAAUGCGUAGAGAUGUGGAGGAAUACCGAUGGCGAAGGCAGCCCCCUGGGCUAACACUGACGCUCAUGCACGAAAGCGUGGGGAGCAAACAGGAUUAGAUACCCUGGUAGUCCACGCCCUAAACGAUGUCAACUAGGUGUUGGGGAAGGAGACUUCUUUAGUACCGCAGCUAACGCGUGAAGU
This 687-nucleotide ribosomal RNA is filed under the name uncultured beta proteobacterium. Its description in RNAcentral is "bacterial SSU rRNA". It matches the Rfam family "Bacterial small subunit ribosomal RNA", at positions 198 to 865 of the family's 1533-position model. Lineage: Bacteria; Pseudomonadati; Pseudomonadota; Betaproteobacteria. The record is from RNAcentral.